UGGGAAGUUUGGGGAGGGGCAGAGGAGGUUUAGGAGUGGCCGGUGUUGGGGAAGCGAGGUGCAGGAAGGGUUAAACGGAGGGGCGGGUGAGGAGUAAUUGGGUGAGAUGGCAGUGGUUGCAGUGUGGGGAGUGGGAUUUCCAGGUUCUGGGAACCCGGAGUAACGCAUCGACUCCAGGAGAUCAGCGGAAGUGGCCAGGGUCAAAGCUCACCGCCACAGCCUGCAACAGAAAUGGGAUGGUCAGGGCUAUCGGAGGACUCUGGCAAGUUUCUACGAUAUAUCGUGGAGAGCAUUCUAACUGGUUACAUCGUCUGGCCUGGAGGAGCCACUGCACAGGAUUGGAAAAAGCUGCAGAAAGUUGUAAACUCAGUCAGCUCUAUCAUGGGCACUAGCCUCCCCAGCAUGGAGAACACCUUAAACAGGCGAUGCCUGAAAAAGACAGCAUCCAUCACUCAGGACGUGCCCUCUUCUCAUUGCCACCAUCAAGGAGGACGUACAGGAGCCUGAAGACCCACCAUGUAAAUUCAAUUGUGAAGAAAGCACAACAGUGCCUCUACUUCCUUAUGUGUCCAUGGAGGUUUGCAAUACCAGCAGGCCCACGAGGAUCAGCAGCAGCAGCAGCAACAUGGAGAGAGUUACCUUCACUCCUGCAGACAGACAGGACAGCGGCAGAAGGGAAUACCCCGCUAUGGACUUCCAUGGCGCUGGACUCAGCCUCGCAGACGCAGCACACACCAAAAGCGACCUGACCGAGCCGACGCCGAGUCCGUCGUACCUCUGAGCCUCCGACCAUCCCUUCCGGCACAGCCUCUCUGAGCACCAUCCUCUACGAAGACUCCGCCAACGGCCGCCGGCAACGUGACCUCAAGGACUGGGGUCCUGUUCUUCUCCGCAGAGACCUGGACCUCACAACAGCAGCAGCAACGAAGAAGGCCUUCCUGGAGAUGUUCCUCCGUGCUCCCAUGUCCAUUUUUCAUCAGAUUAGGAUUGUGCACGGCAUCCCACUUAACAAAUAACAGAUAUCAACUCCGGAGAGGCCGCUGCAAGCUGCGUCGCGCCGCCAUCUUAGUUGCCUUCCUUAACCCUACCCACAACCACUCCACAUAUUCAGAUACUAUGUAACUGCUCUCUAAGGAUUUGACUUGAUUUUUUUACCAACAGAGCUACGCCAUUCCCUCUGUCAAUGUUCCAUCUCGUGACCACAGUGCUGUGCAGUCUUUUGCAGAGUGACAGCAUGUGCUUGCUGAAUAGUUCAUUCAAUAAAAACAGUGUAAAUAAGCCAGUUCUAAAACCUGCAGACAAAUCAUCGCAAAUUCCACAUUAUCAACAUUAACUGUAUCAGAAACUGGAAAAGGAAAUGUGAUUGUGUAUGAUCGUGAAAUAUACUUAACAUGCCAAUGAGGUAGAGGGUAACAACCUUCUGUGUACAGUUUAAAUUCCUUUGUGUGCUAGUAAAUUCCUUGGAUGUUAAGCUCCCAACUGUAACCUUCUUUCAGCCGACUCAGUGAUGCCCACAAUGUCAUAACUACCAAUCUGUAACCACACAAGAUCAUCUACUUUAUUCCAUAUACUGCAUGGAUCCAGAUAUAACACCUUCAGUCCUGUAUUCACCUUCUUUGAUUUUUGUGGUGAAAUCAUGUGUCACAUGUCAGAAUGUGAUUGGACAGAGUUGUGAGCAUGUACAGAAAUGAUAGAAUGAUCUAGAAGCAUGGCAGUGUUAAAACAUGGUUGCUGUUUGCUGGUAAAUAAAGUUCUAGUUAUAUUCUUCCAGAAUAUGGUUUGUUCUUGGUAACCCAUGGUACUUAUAAAGAACACAACAUGGUGUCAGAAGUCAGUCUGGAAGAAUAAUUUGUUUCGCUAACACGGAAUCAGUGAAGAUAAUUGGAAAGAAAAAGCGCAAACUUUUUCAUUGUUUGCUAACAGCUUUAAGAAUGGUUGCAACCUUCGAAAACACUUCAGCUGACUGGGACCAUAACUGAAAACUGAAAAAGAUGUAAACAGUGUUUUGAAAUGUAUUUAUCAGCGAUUGGAACAGAAAAUAAAACGGAUAAAACAAAAGCUGCAAUUCUACUCCACGUGAUUGGGGAUGACACAAUUGAGGCAUAUAAUUGUAUUACUUUUGUAAAUGGAGAUAAUUUGAAUCUAAAAGCGAUAAUUGACAAGUUUGAAGCAUUUUGUAUACUGAAGUUCAAUGUGACGUAUGAACGGUAUGAAUUCUUCACAUGCAAGCAGAAAGAUGGUCAAACGAUUGAUCAAUUUGUUAUGGAAUUGAGAAACUACAGUAAAACGUGUGAGUUUGCAGAGCUGACAGACUCUCAUUAAAGACAGAAUUGUUUGCGGCACUCUGGAUAAUGCUCUGAGAAAAAGACUCUUAAAAGAACUAGACGUAAAUUUGGAAAAAGCUUUGAUUCUCUGCAAAGCUUCAGAGACCGUAAAGUCGCACGCUAAUGAGCUUUUUAUCGAGAACCGCAGCUGGGGAUGAGAUGUACUCCAGGCUACUGUGGGAGGCAAGGGAGGAGAUUGCUGAGCCUCUGGCAAUGAUCUUUGCAUCAUCAAUGGGGAUGGGAGAGGUUCCUGAGGAUUGGAGGGUUGUGGAUGUUCCAUAAUUCAAGAAAGGGAGUAGAGAUAGCCCAGGAAAUUAUAGACCAAUGAGUCUUACUUCAGUGGUUGGAAAGAUGAUGGAGAAGAUCCUGAGAGGCAGGACUUGUGAAUAUUUGGAGAGGCAUAAUAUGAUUAGGAAUAGUCAGCAUGGCUUUGUCAAGGGCAGGUCGUGUCUUAAGAGCCUGAGUGAACUUUUUGAGGAUGUGACAAAACACAUUGAUGAAGGAAGAGCAGUAGAUGUAUAUGGAUUUCAGCAAUGUAUUUGAUAAGGUACCCAUGGAAGGCUUAUUGAGAAAGUACGGAGGCAUGGGACCCAAGGGGACAUUGUUUUGUGGAUCCAGAACUGGUUGUAGAUGGGUCAUAUGGAGGUCGGUCACCAGUGGAGUGCCUCAGGGAUCUGUUCUGGGACCCUUACUCUUCAUGAUUUUUAUAAAUGAGCUAGAUGAGGAAGUGGAGGGAUGGGUUAGUAAAUUUACUGAUGACACAAAGGUUGGAGGUGUUGUGGAUAGUGUGGAGGGUUGUCAGAGGUUACAGCGGGAUAUUGAUAGGAUGCAAAACUGGGCUGAGAAGUGGUAGAUGGAGUUCAAUCCAGAUAAGUGUGAGGUGGUUCAUUUUGGUAGGUGAAAUAUGAUGGCAGAAUAUAGUAUCAAUGGUAAGACUCUUGGCAGUGUGGAGGAUCAGAGGAAUCUUGGGGUCCGAGUCCAUAGGAUGCUCAAAGCAGCUACGCAGGUUGACUCUGUGGUUAAGAAGGAGUAUGGUAUAUUGGCCUUCAUCAGUCGCGGAAUUGAAUUUAGGAGUCGAGAGGUAAUGUUGCAGCUAGACACAACGGGAAGCAUUCACAUAUGAUUGGUUGUCCGAAAACUGUCUUACACACACCAACACACCCCUACACAACCUGCCCUACACACCCCUACGAACCCCAACACAUGCAUACACACACCACUAUACAAACAGCCCUACACACCUUGACACACCCUGACACGCUCCUAAACAAAUGGGAAGCUCUCACAUGCUCGGUGGACAGCCCAGUGAAUCUCCAAUGUCCUCUCCCUGCAUUGCUGUGCCCCGGUGACCAGUUGUGCUGGAGCUGAUCUCAGCUGCAGGCCUGCAGGACUCUGGUAAAGGGAAUGUCCUGAUUCUCCAUGCAACCCUCUCUUGACCUCCUCACUCCCAGGACAUGCCCUCUUCCCAUUGCUACUGUCAGGGGAGAGGUACAGGAGCUCGAUUACACACACUCAGUGAUUCAGGAACAGGUUCUUCCCCUCUGCCAACAGAUUUCUGAAUGGACAGUGAACCCAUGAACACUACCUCACCAUAUUUUUUUAAAAAAACACAAAAUGCU
Molecule: long non-coding RNA, 3943 nt
Organism: Hypanus sabinus (Atlantic stingray)
Lineage: Eukaryota; Metazoa; Chordata; Chondrichthyes; Myliobatiformes; Dasyatidae
Exons: 4
Source: RefSeq, a predicted model, not a curated record